Molecule: ribosomal RNA, 304 nt
Filed under: uncultured bacterium
Lineage: Bacteria
Description: bacterial SSU rRNA
Rfam family: Bacterial small subunit ribosomal RNA
Source: RNAcentral
AUUGAACGCUGGCGGCGCGCUUAACACAUGCAAGUCGAACGGUAGCAGCUCCUGCUUGCAGGAGGCUGACGAGUGGCGGACGGGUGAGUAACGCGUAGGAAUUUCCCCUAUAGUUCGGGACAACUUGAGGAAACUUGAGCUAAUACCGGAUGUGUACUGAGGUAUAAAGGUUGCUUUCGGGCAGUCGCUAUAGGAUGAGCCUGCGUUGGAUUAGCUAGUUGGUGGGGUAAAGGCCUACCAAGGCGAUGAUCCAUAGCUGUUCUGAGAGGAAGAUCAGCCACACUGGGACUGAGACACGGCCCAG